Molecule: ribosomal RNA, 4296 nt
Filed under: Triticum aestivum (bread wheat)
Lineage: Eukaryota; Viridiplantae; Streptophyta; Magnoliopsida; Poales; Poaceae
Description: partial small subunit ribosomal RNA
Source: RNAcentral
AUGGAGCCGACAGAGGACAUCGAGUUCCUCUGGAAGUGGCGCAAGUACCUCCUGCUGCUCGCCACGCUGGUCGCCAGCGUCACCUACGGCGCCGGCCUCAACCCGCCGGGCGGCGUGUGGUCCCAGGACCAGGGGCCAGGCAGCAACAAUGCUCGAGUGCACCGCGCCGGUGCCGUCCACCGCCCGACGCCGCUGGCCCCGGCGCCGGCCGGAGUCUACCCCUUCCGCGUCGGCGACCCGGUGCUGGUGUCCACCUACCCGCGCCGGUACACCGCCUUCUUCUACUGCAACGCGGCCGCCUUCGUUGCGUCCCUGGUCAUCAUCAUGUUCCUGCUGGAUCAGCGCAUCAGCAACAACCCCGCCGGCCUCACCGUGCUCCGCCUCGCCAUGCUGCUCGACCUGCUUGCCCUCAUGGCCGCAUUCGUCGCCGGGAGCUGCCACAACGUGGUCUCCUUCAUCUAUGUCUCUGCCGUCUGCGUCGUCGUCCUCCUCUACUUCGCCAUCUACCUAGGCGUGGCCUCCAUCUCCUCCCAUUCCCGUCUACUACUUUUCUUUUGCGGUGAAAGCUCGUGUCUACUACUAUUCAUGAGGAAAGCGCCGGUUGCGGCCUCGUACGCGGUGAAGGGGCGCAUCAAGGAGCGACGCAAGUUCCUCCUGCUGCUGGCCACCUUCGCGACGCCCCUGACGUACGCCGCGGGGUUGGCGCCGCCGGGAGGCUUCUGGAGCGAGACCGUGGCAGGGCACAGCGCCGGCGCCCCGCUGCUGCACGACGGGCGCUACAAGAUCCGCUACCACGCCUUCUUCUACGCCAACGCCAACUCCUUCGUGGCGUCGCUCGCCAUCAUCAUGGUGCUCACGAGCAGGACGCUGAGCGACCGCCUCAUCCAAUCGUACCUGCUGCUUGUGUGCGUCCUGGUGGAGCUGCUGGGCCUCAUGGCCGCCUACGCCGCCGGCAGCUGCAGGUUGAUCACCACCACCAUAUACAUCGUCUCCCUCGUCGGCGCCGUGCUCCUCUACAUUGUGGUGCAGAUGGUCGUCGAGCUGCUCUGCAAAUUGCGAGUACAACAAGAUAGGAUAAAACAGAGGAGAGGACAUAGGAGAUCGAACAGGUGCAGGGGAGACGGCGUGCAGGUGCAGGCACAUCCUCCCCCUCCUCCAGCUUCGUGGUCAUCUCUGAUCGACAGCAGCAAGACGGCGAGGAGGUGGUUGACGACGGACAGGUGCAGACGGCGGCGGCCGACCCUCAACUCGAUGGCGGGCAGCUGCUCGCGCUGCGCUCCCUCCUCUUCUCCUCCUUCCCUCCAGUACUACGGCUUCGUGGUCUACGGCGAGGUGGUUGACGACGGCAGCACCAGGAGGUGGUCGACGGCGAGAGGUAGAGGCGCGGCGGCGCGAGGUUGUGCCGAGGAGAGGAAGGCGAGGAAGAUGGCGGCGCAGGGAAGGAAAAGGGGCGGCGCAUGCGAGGAAGAGGAGGCAGUGGCAAAGAGCAGCACCGCCCACCGGCACCCUCGAACCCAGCAUCGAAACCCCCAGCAUCUGGAGCACACCGACGACGCUCGCCGGCCACACUCCUGUACAGUUCCUCCCGAACUCCGUGGUGGCAUCGGAGCAAACGCGACCACGUCGGCGGAGUUGGAGGACAAAAACCGCGCUGAAGUCGCCGCCGCUGCUGCCGCGACCCCGCUCGGACACCUAGCUCGCAGAUCUGACACCGCCCGCACCGGAAACCGACUUGACGAACCUCAAACCCCUCCGACGAGCCAGGGGCCGCGGAGGAGAGGAGCUACCGAAGCCGCCGCCGGCAAGCGAGUCAAACUUCUCUUCGCCCUUUUCCUGUGGAGAGAGAAAGGGGAGGAGGAGAGACCAACGCUGGCGAAGAAGCCAGAACGGAAGCAAAGACAAGACGAAGAGGAGUCACGGUCGCUUGUAUUGCUGCUGGCCACGCUGGCGGCAACUGUGACGUACCAGGCAGGGCUGAGCCCGCCGGGCGGCGUCUGGCCGGAAGGGCAACUGAAUCACACCCCGGGGAACCCAAUCCUCCAUGACAUGCACCUCAAGAGGUACAAGGCGUUCUACCACUGCAACACGGCGGCGUUCGUGGCGUCGGUGGUAGUCAUCAUCAUCGUCCAGAACAAGCAUCUAAACACCCUCGGGCAUGCUGCGCUCAAGAUGGCCAUGAUACUGGACUUGUUCGGCCUCAUGGGCGCCUAUGUCGCCGGGAGCUGCCGGGACAACGCCACCAACAUCUACGGCAGGGAGAGCUGCCCGACACGGUGGGUGCAACGCAUGCGCGAUAAGCUUAUAGAACAUCUCACCCCCAACGAGCCGCCCCGGCAAGGGGAAGGAGAACCACCUCUCGAUGAAGAAAUGGGCGAACAAAAGAAGCUUGAGAGGAAGCGCAAGUUCUUGCUGCAGCUUGCCAUCCUCGCCGCCACCGUCAUGUACCAGACCGGGCUAAACCCGCCCGGCGGGUUCUGGUCAGAGACAGAGAGCAAGGGCGAAAGGCCACUCACUGCCGGCGACCCGGUUCUCCUCGACCACUACGGGAGUAGGUACGAGGUGUUCUUCUACUGCAAUGCCACAGGGUUCAUGGCGUCCGUUGCGGUCAUCCUGCUCCUGGUGAACCAGAGGCUGUACAAGCAGGGCAUCCGGAGCAAGGCACUCAAGGUAUGCGUCAUGGUCGGGCUGCUGGGCCUCAUGGGCGCCUACGCGGCCGGCAGCUGUAGGCUGCUGCGCACCUCCAUCUAUGUCUUUGCGCUAGUGGCCGCGGUGGUCGCCUUCCUCGUCCUGCAGAUCUUGUUCUUCCGCUGUGGUCGCCGCAAGUUGCCAGAGCAGCCGCACGGCGAGAACGAAGGCGAUGAGGUUCCGGGGCAGUCAUGGGUUCCAGAGUGCCUCCAGCGGUGGCUGAAGCCGCUGUCGUCAGCGCCGGACGGCAAGAACGAAGGAGAUGAGGUCUCCUCUCAACCGAAACGACGCCGCCAGGAUUACGAGAAAAGCAAGUCUCUGAUGCUGCUCGGCAUCCUUGCGGCGAGCGUGACGUACCAGGCAGGUCUCGCGCCUCCAGGCGGCACCUGGGGUGACGACGAUGAUGUGGUGGUAUCGCCGUCGGCUGCAUACAUCUCCCAUGCCGGCAACCCGAUCCUGCUCGACACCAACACGAAACGGUACCAGGCCUUCUUCUACUGCAACGCGACGUCAUUUGUGGCCUCCAUCGUUGUCAUCUUGCUGCUGCUGCAGCGCAACGUGAGCAAGCGAGGCGCGUCGCUGCAGGCAAUGCAUACCGCAGUGGUGCUGGACCUGCUCGGCCUGCUAGGUGCCUAUGCCGCCGGCAGUUGCAGAUACUUGGAGACGUCCGCGUACGUCAUCGCCCUCGUUGCCAUGGUGGUUGUCUUCAUUACCAUCCACGUCCUUCUGUCGAUUGGACGACGUGCCUGGGAAGGCCAAGAAGGUCACGGUGUGGAGGACAAUGAUGAUGAUCGCAGUUCAGCACCCUCCCACUUACCGCCAUCGGUGGCGAUGGGCCUCUCCUGCAGCCUUCUCCUCCUCCUCACAUCAGCCCGGAUCUGCUCCAUAGUGGCCACGUUGGAGGCCAGGCAGGUUUUUGCCCCCAUCUGCCAUCCCUGCUUAGGGUCGGAAGAGUCCUAUACAAAUAUGGGAGCUUGCAACAUUUCCCUUUGGCUCCGACUUGGCAGGUUGGUCCGAGGCCAUGCUCGGUGUACUGCUAGUUUUCCCUCCCGCAUUGGCUCCUCGCCGACCAACAAGAAUCUGGGCAGCGCCCCCUUUCAUCAUAGUGCUUGUGGUUACCAGAGGGAGGAUGAGGAGCUGGUGGUAUGGAGCAUUGGUGUGGAACAGGGGUGGCCAUUGCGCUCCUGCGGCCUGUCUCCAAGCAGUUCUGAUGUUGAUGGCAUUGUGGAAUUUUGGUACAAAGAUCUGUCUAUCCACGAUCCUUCUAUGAUGCUCCUGAGUAUGCUGGUUGACAAAUCAACGACGUGCUUCAGAUCUUUGGUUUCCGCCAUAAUUUCCCGCAUCCCGAUUAAACCUCCCAAUCGCGAGAAAGUUCUCCGAGAUGAGAAGGCCACUUCGAGUGCCGGGCAGACCAGGGUGGAAGCAAUACUUGGAAUCCCCGUGUGUGGAUUGGAGCUGGGAAAGCUUGUUGCGCAGCGUGGUCAUCUCAUUCUUGACCGCAUCUGCCAAGAACACCUGCAGCUUCUCGACGCCAGCGGCAGACCUGUCAUCUUGCUGCCUCUUGGCCUAGGCCGCUGCGGUAGCGGCGCUGACAAAGGUGUUGGCCAUUAG